UCUGAAAUUGAGAAUCCUAAAUUAGAACAUUUUCCUAAUUAGAACAACUUGACAUCUCCUUGGAAGUGGGACAAGAGUAUCUACAAGCUGACAAAGAAAAAGAAAAAGAUGUGAUCGCCAUGUCUUAUCCAUUCUCUCCUCAUCACACGACAUUGUGAUGGUGCCCAUUCAACAGAGCCUGGGGAAAAUACUUUUGUUGGAUCCAUGACAUUGAUAAUCUGUGGUGCUGGAGACGGCUCUUCCUUCAAGUGACCAUGGCUACAAAUAUCUGGGAAGCUGAAUGAAGCGUCUGAAAAGCUAUUUCACUACAGAUAGGGGUGGUUGCACUAGAAGACCUCUAAUUCUAAGAUUUAAAAACUAUUAAUGAUAUAUUAAAAUAGAUAAUUUUCA
Long non-coding RNA from Neofelis nebulosa (Clouded leopard), 390 nucleotides. RefSeq lists it as uncharacterized. The transcript has 3 exons. Lineage: Eukaryota; Metazoa; Chordata; Mammalia; Carnivora; Felidae. The record is from RefSeq and is a predicted model, not a curated record.